Molecule: long non-coding RNA, 619 nt
Organism: Orcinus orca (killer whale)
Lineage: Eukaryota; Metazoa; Chordata; Mammalia; Artiodactyla; Delphinidae
Exons: 3
Source: RefSeq, a predicted model, not a curated record
GGGUGAAGGUGGCCUCAUAGAAUGAGUUUGGGAGUGUUCCUUCCUCUGCAAUAUUUUGGAAGAGUUUGAGAAGGAUGGGUGUUAGCUCUUCUCUAAAUGUUUGAUAGAAUUCACCUGUGAAGCCAUCUGGUCCUGGACUUUUGUUUGUUGAUUUUUAAUCACAGUUUCAACUUCAGUGCUUGUGAUUGGUCUGUUCAUAUUUUCUAUUUCUCCUGGUUCAGUCUUGGAAGGUUGUGCUUUUCUAAGAAUUUGUCCAUUUCUUCCAGGCUGUCCAUUUUAUUGGCGUAUAGUUGCUUGUAGUAAUCUCUCUUGAUCCUUUGUAUUUCUGCAGUGUCAGUUGUUACUUCUCCUUUUUCAUUUCUAAUUCUGUUGAUUUGAGUCUUCUCCCUUUUUUCCUUGAUGAGUCUGGCUAAUGGGUUAUGAAUUUUGCUUAUCUUCUCAAAGAACCAGCUUUUAGUUUUAUUGAUCUUUGCUAUUGUUUCCUUAAUUUCUUUUUCAUGUAUUUCUGAUCUCACCUUUAUGAUUUCUUUCCUUCUGGUAACUUGGGGUUUAUUUUUGUACUUGUUUCUCUAAUUGCUUUAGAUGUAAGGUUAGGUUGUUUAUUUGAGAUUUUUCUUGU